AUUGAACGCUGGCGGCAGGCCUAACACAUGCAAGUCGAGCGGAUGAAGGGAGCUUGCUCCUGGAUUCAGCGGCGGACGGGUGAGUAAUGCCUAGGAAUCUGCCUGGUAGUGGGGGAUAACGUCCGGAAACGGGCGCUAAUACCGCAUACGUCCUGAGGGAGAAAGUGGGGGAUCUUCGGACCUCACGCUAUCAGAUGAGCCUAGGUCGGAUUAGCUAGUUGGUGGGGUAAAGGCCUACCAAGGCGACGAUCCGUAACUGGUCUGAGAGGAUGAUCAGUCAAACUGGAACUGAGACACGGUCCAAACCCCUACGGGAAGCAGCAGUGGGGAAUAUUGGACAAUGGGCGAAAGCCUGAUCCAGCCAUGCCGCGUGUGUGAAGAAGGUCCUCCGAUUAGAAAGGCCUUUUAGUUUGGAGGAAGGGCAGUAAGUUAAUAACUUGCUUUUUUGACGGUACCAACAAAAUAAGCCCCGGCUAACUUCGUG
Molecule: ribosomal RNA, 484 nt
Filed under: uncultured bacterium
Lineage: Bacteria
Description: partial 16S ribosomal RNA
Rfam family: Bacterial small subunit ribosomal RNA
Source: RNAcentral